GAGAGUUGAAAAACUCCCAAACCCUUUGUGAACCUACCUGAAUUUUACUCCGGCAGGCGGCCCCAGGGCGGGGCCAGGAGCCUGUUUACAGGUGCCUGUCGGAAGUAUCAGACUCUAUCAUCAAUUGUCUUCUGAGUCGCUACAGCGAAAUAAUUA
Molecule: unclassified non-coding RNA, 156 nt
Filed under: uncultured fungus
Lineage: Eukaryota; Fungi
Description: sequence contains ITS1
Source: RNAcentral